GAUGAACGCUGGCGGCGUGCCUAAUACAUGCAAGUCGAGCGAACAGACGAGGAGCUUGCUCCUCUGACGUUAGCGGCGGACGGGUGAGUAACACGUGGAUAACCUACCUAUAAGACUGGGAUAACUUCGGGAAACCGGAGCUAAUACCGGAUAAUAUAUUGAACCGCAUGGUUCAAUAGUGAAAGACGGUUUUGCUGUCACUUAUAGAUGGAUCCGCGCCGCAUUAGCUAGUUGGUAAGGUAACGGCUUACCAAGGCAACGAUGCGUAGCCGACCUGAGAGGGUGAUCGGCCACACUGGAACGGAGACACGGUCCAGACUCCUACGGGAGGCAGCAGUAGGGAAUCUUCGGCAAUGGGCGAAAGCUUGACGGAGCAACGCCGCGUGAGUGAUGAAGGUCUUCGGAUCGUAAAACUCUGUUAUUAGGGAAGAACAAAUGUGUAAGUAACUAUGCACGUCUUGACGGUACCUAAUCAGAAAGCCACGGCUAACUACGUG
Molecule: ribosomal RNA, 497 nt
Filed under: uncultured bacterium
Lineage: Bacteria
Description: partial 16S ribosomal RNA
Rfam family: Bacterial small subunit ribosomal RNA
Source: RNAcentral